Molecule: ribosomal RNA, 253 nt
Filed under: uncultured bacterium
Lineage: Bacteria
Description: partial 16S ribosomal RNA
Rfam family: Bacterial small subunit ribosomal RNA
Source: RNAcentral
UACGGAGGGUGCAAGCGUUAAUCGGAAUUACUGGGCGUAAAGCGCACGCAGGUGGCUGAGUCAGUCGAUUGUGAAAGCCCUGGGCUUAACCUGGGAAUUGCAGUCGAUACUACUCAGCUAGAGUAUGGGAGAGGGUAGUGGAAUUCCCGGUGUAGCGGUGAAAUGCGUAGAUAUCUGGAGGAACACCGGUGGCGAAGGCGGCAUCCUGGACCGGUAUUGACACUGAGGCGCGAAAGCCAGGGGAGCAAACGGG